UGGGGAACAUUGCACAAUGGGCGAAAGCCUGAUGCAGCGACGCCGCGUGAGGGAUGACGGCCUUCGGGUUGUAAACCUCUUUCAGCAGGGAAGAAGCGAAAGUGACGGUACCUGCAGAAGAAGCGCCGGCUAACUACGUGCCAGCAGCCGCGGUAAUACGUAGGGCGCAAGCGUUGUCCGGAAUUAUUGGGCGUAAAGAGCUCGUAGGCGGUUAGUCGCGUCUGCUGUGAAAACUCGAGGCUCAACCUCGGGCUUGCAGUGGGUACGGGCUGACUAGAGUGCGGUAGGGGUGACUGGAAUUCCUGGUGUAGCGGUGGAAUGCGCAGAUAUCAGGAGGAACACCGAUGGCGAAGGCAUGUCACUGGGCCGCAACUGACGCUGAGGAGCGAAAGCAUGGGGAGCGAACAGGAUUAGAUACCCUGGUAGUCCAUGCCGUAAACGUUGGGCACUAGGUGUGGGGUCCAUUCCACGGAUUCCGUGCCGCAGCAAACGCAUUAAGUGCCCCGCCUGGGGAGUACGGCCGCAAGGCUAAAACUCAAAUGAAUUGACGGGGUCAUAGCUGUUUCCU
RNAcentral lists this ribosomal RNA (568 nucleotides) under uncultured bacterium. Its description in RNAcentral is "partial 16S ribosomal RNA". It matches the Rfam family "Bacterial small subunit ribosomal RNA", at positions 355 to 1375 of the family's 1533-position model. The record is from RNAcentral.